RNAcentral lists this ribosomal RNA (620 nucleotides) under uncultured bacterium. RNAcentral's name for it is "bacterial SSU rRNA". It matches the Rfam family "Bacterial small subunit ribosomal RNA", at positions 231 to 847 of the family's 1533-position model. The record is from RNAcentral.
AUGCGUGACAUUAGCUAGUCGGCGGGGUAACGGCCCACCGAGGCGACGAUGUCUAGGGGUUCUGAGAGGAAGGUCCCCCACACUGGUACUGAGACACGGACCAGACUCCUACGGGAGGCAGCAGUGAGGAAUAUUGGUCAAUGGGCUUACGCCUGAACCAGCCAAGUCGCGUGAGGGAAGACUGCCCUAUGGGUUGUAAACCUCUUUUGUCAGGGAGCAACGCCGGCUACGUGUAGCCGGACUGAGAGUACCUGAAGAAAAAGCAUCGGCUAACUCCGUGCCAGCAGCCGCGGUAAUACGGAGGAUGCGAGCGUUAUCCGGAUUUAUUGGGUUUAAAGGGUGCGUAGGCGGAAUGCCAAGUCAGCGGUAAAAUCGCGGGGCUCAACCUCGCUCCGCCGUUGAAACUGGCGUUCUUGAGUGGGCGAGAAGUAUGCGGAAUGCGUGGUGUAGCGGUGAAAUGCAUAGAUAUCACGCAGAACUCCGAUUGCGAAGGCAGCAUACCGGCGCCCAACUGACGCUGAAGCACGAAAGCGUGGGUAUCGAACAGGAUUAGAUACCCUGGUAGUCCACGCAGUAAACGAUGAAUACUAGCUGUUCGGGGCAAAUGAGCCUUGAGUGGC